This 371-nucleotide ribosomal RNA is filed under the name uncultured bacterium. RNAcentral's name for it is "bacterial SSU rRNA". It matches the Rfam family "Bacterial small subunit ribosomal RNA", at positions 959 to 1334 of the family's 1533-position model. The record is from RNAcentral.
ACGCGAAGAACCUUACCCACCUUUGACAUGUAAGGAAGUUUCCAGAGAUGGAUUCGUGCUCGAAAGAGAACCGUCACACAGGUGCUGCAUGGCUGUCGUCAGCUCGUGUCGUGAGAUGUUGGGUUAAGUCCCGCAACGAGCGCAACCCUUGCCAUUAGUUGCUACGAAAGGGCACUCUAAUGGGACUGCCGGUGACAAACCGGAGGAAGGUGGGGAUGACGUCAAGUCCUCAUGGCCCUUAUAGGUGGGGCUACACACGUCAUACAAUGGCCGGUACAAAGGGCAGCCAACCCGCGAGGGGGAGCCAAUCCCAUAAAGCCGGUCGUAGUCCGGAUCGCAGUCUGCAACUCGACUGCGUGAAGUCGGAAUCG